Molecule: long non-coding RNA, 565 nt
Organism: Gopherus flavomarginatus (Mexican gopher tortoise)
Lineage: Eukaryota; Metazoa; Chordata; Testudines; Testudinidae
Exons: 4
Source: RefSeq, a predicted model, not a curated record
CUGCCUGCCGGUCACUGUGAGGGUGGCAGUCAGGCUGCCUUCGGCAGCACGCCUGCAGGAGGACCUCUGGUAAUGCGGAUUAGGUGACAUGCCUGCAGGAGGUCUUCUGGUAAUGCGGAUUAGGUGGCAUGCCUGCAGGAGGUCCUCUGGUAAUGCGGAUUAGGUGACAUGCCUGCAGGAGGCCCUCUGGUAAUGCGGAUUAGGUGACAUGCCUGCGGGAGGCCCUCUGGUAAUGCGGAUUAGGUGACAUGCCUGCGGGAGGUCCUCUGGUAAUGCGGAUUAGGUGACAUGCCUGCAGGAGGCCCUCUGGUAAUGCGGAUUAGGUGACAUGCCUGCGGGAGGUCCUCUGGUAAUGCGGAUUAGGUGACAUGCCUGCGGGAGGUCCUCUGGUAAUGCGGAUUAGGUGACAUGCCUGCGGGAGGUCCUCUGGUAAUGCGGAUUAGGUGACAUGCCUGCGGGAGGUCCUCUGGUAAUGCGGAUUAGGUGACAUGCCUGCGGGAAGUCCUCUGGUAAUGCGGAUUAGGUGACAUGCCUGCGGGAGGUCCUCUGGUAAUGCGGAUUAGGU